UGAGGGUGACGAUGAUGAUGAUGAGUAGGAGGAGGAGGAGGAAAGCUUUAUUGCGCAGGGAGAUCAGGCACCUCCAUCUACCCGCCUCAUCCUUAUCCCAGUUUUCCCCACUUCUAUCUGACCCUCCCACCACCCCGACACUAGUGGCUUUGCUAGCUACGAUUUGCAGGAGUCGAAGUUAUCAUGAAACGAGGAAGAGACAUAAAGUCAUUUUUUGCCCCAGCAAACAAAAAAGUGAGAGAAACAAAUCGAGGUUUUGAGAAAGUUGAGGAAGAGGGAGAGCCAGCAUGUGAUGAAAGUGAGGGGUCUGACAAAGAGAAGGAAAUUCCAGAGGGUGAGGAGGAUGAAGAAGAGGGUGAGGGAAGAUGAAGAAGAGGGUGAGGAGCAUGAGGAGGAUGAAGAAGAGGGUGAGGAGCAUGAAGAAGAAAGCAUACAGGGAAAGAGAGAGGAACAGCCAGAGGGACAGCAAGUGGAUCCAUGUGGAUCAAGUACUGCACCAUCAGAUAUCAGCAAGUCUAAGUAUGACGUACCAGUACAGCCGAACUUGAAGAUGUUCCCAACCACACUGAUGGGGGAGAGAAGACGGAGCUUUAGGCCAAACUGGUACACUACUAAUCCAUGGCUUGAGUAUUCUGUAAUGACGGACUCUACAUGUUGCUAUGCAUGUAGACAUUUUAGCACAGUGGUUCCCAACGUGGG
Perca flavescens (yellow perch) is the source of this 699-nucleotide long non-coding RNA. RefSeq lists it as uncharacterized. NCBI's taxonomy places the organism in Eukaryota, Metazoa, Chordata, Actinopteri, Perciformes, Percidae. The transcript has 3 exons. The record is from RefSeq and is a predicted model, not a curated record.